AAAAAAAACUCUCUCAAGGCAAGUUGUUAUCAGUCACGUUCAUUCUUUGCUUCCUCCUAUUAUAUCACGAGAUCCCCAUCUCAUCUCUCUCUCUGAAAAACUCCAUGUUUCUUUUGAACCUCUUCUUCUGUUUUCUUUCUCUCAUUCAUUUUUUCCUCUUUUAUGUGUCAAUUUAGUGCACAUUACUAGAAUUUAUUCUUCAACACAACGAACUUUCUUUAUCUUUGUUUCAACUUUUCUCACCAAAAAGAACACCAUCAUGUCACCUUACUCUCGAUCACCCUCUCAAGAACCCAUUAAUGAUUCCUUCACCAACCGGUUUCGUGACUCUGUCACUUGCAGCAACAACACCAGGAAGCUGGAUUUCAAAGAACUCGAUCUGGGUUCUCCAGUUUCACCAUUAACAAUUCGGGCAUCUCUCAAUAAUGCUACCACCUCCACCCCUUCAAGCAGCACUUCAAGCUCCUCUGGUUCUGUCUCCGCCACCAAAAUUACUAAUACCUCUAUCCAAUUCCCUAAAAAGCCUGAAAAUGUGGCACACAACUACUCCGGCGAGCUCUUCGGCUCAUCCGAGACCAGCCCAGCUCGUCAUAACACUCUGCGUUCCAACAAUUCGCAUCCGGGUCAUCGAAGAUCCAUCUCGGCUGGAGUCCCAUUGAUCUAUUCUGGUUCAAGUUUUGGCUCUCCUAGCAAUGUUAGCAGCUAUGGAAAUAAUAAUGGAACAACCUCGGUUUCUACAAGUUCAAGCUCAAAUUUGCUUCCCAGUGGCAACAUUUGUCCAUCGGGAAAAAUCUUGAAAACUGGGUUGACGUGUCGCGUUGCAAACAAGACAGACACUCUGGGUACAGGAACGGCAAACUAUGGACACGGCAGCAUUAUGCGUGGCGGAAGUGGUGGUCGUGGUGCUGGUGCUGCUACUAGUAAAUUGGGAACUGGAGGAGGUACUGGUGGUUGUGGUGAUCCAGAGGAGUUGAAGAAGGCAGGCAAUGAAAUGUAUAGAAGAGGGAAUUUUGUGGAAGCGCUGGGUUUGUAUGAUAAAGCAAUAUUGUUGGCACCGGAGAAUGCGGCUUACCGGAGUAAUAGGGCGGCGGCUCUGACGGCAGUAGGGAGGUUGAGCGAGGCGGUGAGGGAAUGUGAAGAGGCUGUGAGACUGGACCCUGGUUAUGCCAGGGCUCAUCAGAGGUUGGCCUCUCUUUAUCUUAGGUUAGGACAAGCUGAAAAUGCUCGGCACCAUUUACGUUUUCAAGGGCGACAAACAGGUCCAACAGAGUUACAGAAGCUACAGUCAUUGGAGAAGCAUAUAAAUCGUUGUGCAGAUGCACGGAAGAUUGGUGACUGGAAGGGUGCACUUAGGGAAACUGAUGCAGCCUUAACAAUUGGAGCUGACUCUUCUCCUCAGCUUAUUGCCUGUAAAGCGGAAGCCUUCUUGAAACUUCACCAACUUGAAGAUGCAGAUUCAACCAUAUUAAACAUUCCCAAGGGUGAAUAUUAUCCGUCACAAACAAAGUUAUUUGGUAUGGUUGCUGAAGCUUAUGUGCUUUACGUCCAAGCGCAGAUUGAAUUGGCACUGGGAAGAUUUGAGAAUGCAGUUUCAGUGGCUGAGAAGGCUGUGCUAAUUGAUUAUAGUAAUGUAGACAUUGCUUUGGUGUUAACCAAUGUGAAAAUGGCAGCAAGAGCUCGUAACCAUGGUAAUGAUCUUUUCAGUUCUGGAAAAUAUGCGGAAGCCAGCUCAGCUUAUGGGGAAGGCCUCAAAUAUGAUUCUUCCAACCCUGUUCUUUACUGCAAUCGAGCAGUUUGUUGGUCUAAACUUGGAUUGUGGGAAAAAUCUAUAGAGGACUGCACUCAAGCCCUUAGAAUACAACCAAACUACACCAAGGCCUUAUCUAGAAGGGCUGCCUCAAAUGUAAAGCUUGGACGAUGGGCAGAAGCUGUGAACGAUUAUGAGGUCUUGAGAAGGGAACUACCAGGGGACAAUGAGGUUCUGGAAUCUCUACACCAAGCACAGAUCAAAUUGAAGAAAUCUCUUGGUGAAGAUCAUAAUACAAAAUUUGGUGGUGAAGUAGAAGAAAUUUCCAGUAUUGAUAAGUUUAAAGCUGCAAUAUCAUCACCUGGUGAAUACUUGUAGCCUUUGACAUAUCUUUGUAUAGUAAUUACUUGGCCAUCAUUGAUCUUUCCACCUUUCCCGCUAUAUGUUUCUCUGAGCUAGAUCUUUGCAAUUUCCAGGUGUUAAGAUUGUUCAUUUUAAAGCAGCAUCUGAUGAACAAUCUGAAGAUAAAUCCCCAUUCAUAAAUACACUAUGUGUUCGGUAUCCAUCAAUUCAUUUUUUUAAGGUGGAUGUGGAAGAAAGCUUAGCAGUAGCAAAAGCUGAGAGCAUUAAAACUGUUCCAACAUUCAAGAUUUAUAAGAAUGGAGACAAGGUGAAGGAGAUAAUCCGUCCGAGCUAUCAGUUCCUAGAGGAUUGGGUGAGGAGUUACAGCCUAUAGAUAAGAGUAUAUUGUUAAUCACAUGUUCUCUUUCUGUGUUUGCUAUUAUUUUAUUUUAAUUCAUUCAUCUGGAAGAACCAAUGUUUUUCUCUUUGCUCCGUGAUUCAUAUUAGUAGUGAUCAGUUCUACCUAUGAUAUGAUAUAAUCAACUACAUAAUUGUUUCAUAGAAUUGUAUGACAGUGAAAACCAUUAGAUUGGAUAGAUUUGUAGAACCCUCAUUUUGUCCGGGAGGCUUUUUAAUGGAGAU
This 2731-nucleotide unclassified non-coding RNA is filed under the name Hevea brasiliensis (rubber tree). Lineage: Eukaryota; Viridiplantae; Streptophyta; Magnoliopsida; Malpighiales; Euphorbiaceae. The record is from RNAcentral.